UUUGAUCUUGGUUCAGGAUGAACGCUGGCUACAGGCUUAACACAUGCAAGUCGAGGGGGUAGCAGGGUGGCAAUAUCGCUGACGACCGGCGCACGGGUGAGUAACACGUAUCCAACCUUCCCAUAACUCAGGGAUAGUCCUUUCGAAAGAAAGAUUUAAUACCUGAUAGUUACUUUUUCAAGGCAUCUUAGAAAAAGUUAAAGAUUUAUUGGUUAUGGAGUGGGGAUGCGUUCCAUUAGAUAGUUGGUGAGGUAACGGCUCACCAAGUCUUCGAUGGAUAGGGGUUCUGAGAGGAAGGUCCCCCACAUUGGUACUGAGACACGGACCAAACUCCUACGGGAGGCAGCAGUGAGGAAUAUUGGUCAAGUGGGCGAGAGCCUGAACCAGCCAAGUAGCGUGAAGGAAUGAAGGUCCUAUGGAUUGUAAACUUCUUUUAUAGUAGAAUAAAGUGAUCCACGUGUGGAUUUUUGUAUGUAUACUAUGAAUAAGGAUCGGCUAACUCCGUGCCAGCCGCGGC
RNAcentral lists this ribosomal RNA (517 nucleotides) under uncultured bacterium. Its description in RNAcentral is "bacterial SSU rRNA". It matches the Rfam family "Bacterial small subunit ribosomal RNA", at positions 12 to 518 of the family's 1533-position model. The record is from RNAcentral.